This 107-nucleotide small nuclear RNA is filed under the name Canis lupus familiaris (dog). RNAcentral also lists the same sequence under 1 other name. Lineage: Eukaryota; Metazoa; Chordata; Mammalia; Carnivora; Canidae. The record is from RNAcentral.
GUGCUCGCUUUGGCAGCACAUAUACUAAAGUUGAAACAAUACAGAAAAGAUUAGCAUGGCUCCUGCUCAAGGAUGGCAUGCAAAUUCAUGAAGUGCUCCAUAUUUAA